CCUACGGGAGGCAGCAGUGGGGAAUAUUGCACAAUGGGGGGAACCCUGAUGCAGCGACGCCGCGUGAGUGAAGAAGUAUUUCGGUAUGUAAAGCUCUAUCAGCAGGGAAGAAAAUGACGGUACCUGACUAAGAAGCCCCGGCUAACUACGUGCCAGCAGCCGCGGUAAGACGUAGGGGGCAAGCGUUAUCCGGAUUUACUGGGUGUAAAGGGAGCGCAGACGGCUGUGCAAGUCUGGAGUGAAAGGCGGGGGCCCAACCCCCGGACUGCUCUGGAAACUGUAAAGCUGGAGUGCAGGUGAGGUAAGCGGAAUUCGUGGUGUAGCGGUGAAAUGCGUAGAUAUUAGGAGGAACACCAGUGGCGAAGGCGGCUUACUAGACUGCAACUGACGUUGAGGCUCGAAAGCGUGGGGAGCAAACAGGAUUAGAUACCCGAGUAGUC
RNAcentral lists this ribosomal RNA (440 nucleotides) under uncultured bacterium. RNAcentral's name for it is "partial 16S ribosomal RNA". It matches the Rfam family "Bacterial small subunit ribosomal RNA", at positions 338 to 795 of the family's 1533-position model. The record is from RNAcentral.